CUGAGUACGGCGGAACACGUGAAAUUCCGUCGGAAUCCGGGAGGACCAUCUCCCAAGGCUAAAUACUCCCUAGUGACCGAUAGUGAACCAGUACCGUGAGGGAAAGGUGAAAAGCACCCCGGAAGGGGAGUGAAACAGUUCCUGAAACCGUGUGCCUACAAGUAGUUAGAGCCCGUUAAUGGGUGAUAGCGUGCCUUUUGUAGAAUGAACCGGCGAGUUACGAUUUGUUGCAAGGUUAAGCGGAAAAAGCGGAGCCGUAGCGAAAGCGAGUCUGAAUAGGGCGCAUAAGUAACAGGUCGUAGACCCGAAACCAGGUGAUCUACCCAUGUCCAGGAUGAAGGUAAGGUAAUACUUACUGGAGGUCCGAACCCACGCACGUUGAAAAGUGCGGGGAUGAGGUGUGGGUAGCGGAGAAAUUCCAAUCGAACUUGGAGAUAGCUGGUUCUCUCCGAAAUAGCUUUAGGGCUAGCCUCGAGGUAAAGAGUCAUGGAGGUAGAGCACUGUUUGGACUAGGGGCCCUUCUCGGGUUACCGAAUUCAGAUAAACUCCGAAUGCCAUGUACUUAUACUCGGGAGUCAGACUGCGAGUGAUAAGAUCCGUAGUCGAAAGGGAAACAGCCCAGACCACCAGUUAAGGUCCCCAAAUAUAUGUUAAGUGGAAAAGGAUGUGGGGUUGCUUAGACAACCAGGAUGUUGGCUUAGAAGCAGCCACCAUUGAAAGAGUGCGUAAUAGCUCACUGGUCGAGUGACCCCGCGCCGAAAAUGUACCGGGGCUAAACAUAUUACCGAAACUGUGGAUGAACCUCUUUAGAGGUUCGUGGUAGGAGAGCGUUCUAAGGGCGGUGAAGUCAGACCGGAAGGACUGGUGGAGCGCUUAGAAGUGAGAAUGCCGGUAUGAGUAGCGAAAGAAGGGUGAGAAUCCCUUCCACCGAAUAUCUAAGGUUUCCUGAGGAAGGCUCGUCCGCUCAGGGUUAGUCGGGACCUAAGCCGAGGCCGAUAGGCGUAGGCGAUGGACAACAGGUAGAGAUUCCUGUACCAGUGCUAAUUGUUUAACCGAUGGGGUGACACAGAAGGAUAGGGAAUCGCACGAAUGGAAAUGUGCGUCCAAGCAGUGAGUGUGAGAAGUAGGCAAAUCCGCUUCUCGCGAAGCAUGAGCUGUGAUGGGGAAGGAAAUUAAGUACGGAAGUUCCUGAUUUCACGCUGUCAAGAAAAGCCUCUAGGAAGAGUAGUACUGCCCGUACCGCAAACCGACACAGGUAGAUGAGGAGAGAAUCCUAAGGUGAGCGAGAGAACUCUCGUUAAGGAACUCGGCAAAAUGACCCCGUAACUUCGGGAGAAGGGGUGCUCUAUUAGGGUGCAAGCCCGAGAGAGCCGCAGUGAAUAGGCCCAGGCGACUGUUUAGCAAAAACACAGGUCUCUGCAAAACCGUAAGGUGACGUAUAGGGGCUGACGCCUGCCCGGUGCUGGAAGGUUAAGAGGAGUGCUUAGCUUCGGCGAAGGUACGAAUUGAAGCCCCAGUAAACGGCGGCCGUAACUAUAACGGUCCUAAGGUAGCGAAAUUCCUUGUCGGGUAAGUUCCGACCCGCACGAAAGGCGCAACGAUCUGGGCACUGUCUCAACGAGAGACUCGGUGAAAUUAUAGUACCUGUGAAGAUGCAGGUUACCCGCGACAGGACGGAAAGACCCCGUGGAGCUUUACUGCAACCUGAUAUGGAAUGUUUGUACCGCUUGUACAGGAUAGGUAGGAGCCGAAGAGACGU
This 1759-nucleotide ribosomal RNA is filed under the name Listeria monocytogenes. Its description in RNAcentral is "bacterial LSU rRNA". It matches the Rfam family "Bacterial large subunit ribosomal RNA", at positions 408 to 2165 of the family's 2925-position model. Lineage: Bacteria; Bacillati; Bacillota; Bacilli; Caryophanales; Listeriaceae. The record is from RNAcentral.